RNAcentral lists this non-coding RNA (24 nucleotides) under Arabidopsis thaliana (thale cress). Lineage: Eukaryota; Viridiplantae; Streptophyta; Magnoliopsida; Brassicales; Brassicaceae. The record is from RNAcentral.
AGAGUGUAAUUCCAUUUGAAGAUC